This 426-nucleotide ribosomal RNA is filed under the name uncultured bacterium. Its description in RNAcentral is "bacterial SSU rRNA". It matches the Rfam family "Bacterial small subunit ribosomal RNA", at positions 75 to 518 of the family's 1533-position model. The record is from RNAcentral.
UACAAGUUGGAAUACGUUAGUGGGCGGACGGGUGAGUACGCGGUCGGGUAACCUGCCUCACACGAGGGGAUAACAGUUGGAACGACUGUUAAUACCGCAUAAGCGCACAGCUUCGCAUGAAGCAGUGUGAAAAACUCCGGUGGUGUGAGAUGGACCCGCGUCUGAUUAGCUAGUUGGUGAGGUAACGGCCCACCAAGGCGACGAUCAGUAGCCGGCCUGAGAGGGUGUACGGCCACAUUGGGACUGAGACACGGCCCAAACUCCUACGGGAGGCAGCAGUGGGGAAUAUUGGACAAUGGGGGCAACCCUGAUCCAGCGACGCCCGCGUGAGUGAAGAAGUAUCUCGGUAUGUAAAGCUCUAUCAGCAGGGAAGAUAAUGACGGUACCUGACUAAGAAGCACCGGCUAAAUACGUGCCAGCAGCCGC